GAUGAAGAACGCAGCGAAAUGCGAUACGUAGUGAAUUGCAAAUUCAGUGAAUCAUCGAGUCUUUGAACGCACAUUGCGCCCCCUGGUAUUCCGGGGGGCAUGCCUGUCCGAGCGUCAUUGCUGCCCUCAAGCACGGCUUGUGUGUUGGGCCCCGUCCUCCGAUCCCGGGGGACGGGCCCGAAAGGCAGCGGCGGCACCGCGUCCGGUCCUCGAGCGUAUGGGGCUUUGUCACCCGCUCUGUAGGCCCGGCCGGCGCUUGCCGAUCAACCCAAAUUUUUAUCCAGGUUGACCUCGGAUCAGGUAGGGAUACCCGCUGAACUUAAGCAUAUCAAUAAGCGGAGGA
This 343-nucleotide unclassified non-coding RNA is filed under the name soil metagenome. RNAcentral's name for it is "partial contains 5.8S ribosomal RNA, internal transcribed spacer 2, and large subunit ribosomal RNA". The stretch from base 1 to 117 matches the Rfam family "5.8S ribosomal RNA", at positions 35 to 154 of the family's 154-position model. The record is from RNAcentral.